This 233-nucleotide ribosomal RNA is filed under the name uncultured bacterium. RNAcentral's name for it is "partial 16S ribosomal RNA". It matches the Rfam family "Bacterial small subunit ribosomal RNA", at positions 15 to 229 of the family's 1533-position model. The record is from RNAcentral.
GAUCAUGGCUCAGGAUGAACGCUGGCGGCGUGCUUAACACAUGCAAGUCGAACGAAGCACUCUAUUUGAUUUUCUUCGGAAAUGAAGAUUUUGUGACUGAGUGGCGGACGGGUGAGUAACGCGUGGGUAACCUGCCUCAUACAGGGGGAUAACAGUUGGAAACGACUGCUAAUACCGCAUAAGCGCACAGGAUCGCAUGAUCCGGUGUGAAAACUCCGGUGGUAUGAGAUCGG